This 253-nucleotide ribosomal RNA is filed under the name uncultured bacterium. RNAcentral describes it as "partial 16S ribosomal RNA". It matches the Rfam family "Bacterial small subunit ribosomal RNA", at positions 524 to 776 of the family's 1533-position model. The record is from RNAcentral.
UACGUAGGGUGCGAGCGUUAAUCGGAAUUACUGGGCGUAAAGCGUACGCAGGCGGCUUGGUAAGACAGAUGUGAAAUCCCCGGGCCCAACCUGGGAACUGCAUUUGUGACUGCCAGGCUCGAGUCUGUCAGAGGGGGGUGGAAUUCCACGUGUAGCAGUGAAAUGCGUAGAGAUGUGGAGGAACACCGAUGGCGAAGGCAGCCCCCUGGGAUGAGACUGACGCUCAUGUACGAAAGCGUGGGGAGCAAACAGG